RNAcentral lists this ribosomal RNA (491 nucleotides) under uncultured bacterium. RNAcentral describes it as "partial 16S ribosomal RNA". It matches the Rfam family "Bacterial small subunit ribosomal RNA", at positions 29 to 506 of the family's 1533-position model. The record is from RNAcentral.
AGUGAACGCUGGCGGUAGGCCUAACACAUGCAAGUCGAACGGCAGCACAGUAAGAGCUUGCUCUUACGGGUGGCGAGUGGCGGACGGGUGAGGAAUACAUCGGAAUCUACUUUUUCGUGGGGGAUAACGUAGGGAAACUUACGCUAAUACCGCAUACGACCUACGGGUGAAAGCAGGGGAUCUUCGGACCUUGCGCGAUUGAAUGAGCCGAUGUCGGAUUAGCUAGUUGGCGGGGUAAAGGCCCACCAAGGCGACGAUCCGUAGCUGGUCUGAGAGGAUGAUCAGCCACACUGGAACUGAGACACGGUCCAGACUCCUACGGGAGGCAGCAGUGGGGAAUAUUGGACAAUGGGCGCAAGCCUGAGCCAGCCAUACCGCGUGGGUGAAGAAGGCCUUCGGGUUGUAAAGCCCUUUUGUUGGGAAAGAAAAGCAGCAGGUUAAUACCCCGCUGUUCUGACGGGACCCAAAGAAGAAACACCGGCUAACUUCGG